This 365-nucleotide ribosomal RNA is filed under the name uncultured bacterium. Its description in RNAcentral is "bacterial SSU rRNA". It matches the Rfam family "Bacterial small subunit ribosomal RNA", at positions 527 to 896 of the family's 1533-position model. The record is from RNAcentral.
GGAGGAUCCAAGCGUUAUCCGGAAUCAUUGGGUUUAAAGGGUCCGUAGGCGGUUUAAUAAGUCAGUGGUGAAAGCCCAUCGCUCAACGGUGGAACGGCCAUUGAUACUGUUAAACUUGAAUUAUUAGGAAGUAACUAGAAUAUGUAGUGUAGCGGUGAAAUGCUUAGAGAUUACAUGGAAUACCAAUUGCGAAGGCAGGUUACUACUAAUGGAUUGACGCUGAUGGACGAAAGCGUGGGUAGCGAACAGGAUUAGAUACCCUGGUAGUCCACGCCGUAAACGAUGGAUACUAGCUGUUGGAAGCAAUUUCAGUGGCUAAGCGAAAGUGAUAAGUAUCCCACCUGGGGAGUACGUUCGCAAGAAUG